Molecule: ribosomal RNA, 445 nt
Filed under: uncultured bacterium
Lineage: Bacteria
Description: bacterial SSU rRNA
Rfam family: Bacterial small subunit ribosomal RNA
Source: RNAcentral
GAUGAACGCUGGCGGCGUGCUUAACACAUGCAAGUCGAACGGGGUACCCCCAAAGGAGUUUUCGGACAACUGCGGGGAAUACCUAGUGGCGGACGGGUGAGUAACGCGUGAGUAACCUGCCUUGGAGUGGGGAAUAACAGCUGGAAACAGCUGCUAAUACCGCAUAAUGCAGUUGGGUCGCAUGGCUCUGACUGCCAAAGAUUUAUCGCUCUGAGAUGGACUCGCGUCUGAUUAGCUAGUUGGUGGGGCAACGGCCCACCAAGGCGACGAUCAGUAGCCGGACUGAGAGGUUGGCCGGCCACAUUGGGACUGAGACACGGCCCAGACUCCUACGGGAGGCAGCAGUGGGGAAUAUUGGGCAAUGGGCGCAAGCCUGACCCAGCAACGCCGCGUGAAGGAAGAAGGCUUUCGGGUUGUAAACUUCUUUUCUCAGGGACGAAGCAAG